UGGGGAAUAUUGCACAAUGGGCGCAAGCCUGAUGCAGCCAUGCCGCGUGUGUGAAGAAGGCCUUCGGGUUGUAAAGCACUUUUGGCAGGAAAGAAACGUCGCGGGUUAAUACCCCGCGAAACUGACGGUACCUGCAGAAUAAGCACCGGCUAACUACGUGCCAGCAGCCGCGGUAAUACGUAGGGUGCAAGCGUUAAUCGGAAUUACUGGGCGUAAAGCGUGCGCAGGCGGUUCGGAAAGAAAGAUGUGAAAUCCCAGAGCUUAACUUUGGAACUGCAUUUUUAACUACCGGGCUAGAGUGUGUCAGAGGGAGGUGGAAUUCCGCGUGUAGCAGUGAAAUGCGUAGAUAUGCGGAGGAACACCGAUGGCGAAGGCAGCCUCCUGGGAUAACACUGACGCUCAUGCACGAAAGCGUGGGGAGCAAACAGGAUUAGAUACCCUGGUAGUCCACGCCCUAAACGAUGUCAACUAGCUGUUGGGGCCUUCGGGCCUUGGUAGCGCAGCUAACGCGUGAAGUUGACCGCCUGGGGAGUACGGUCGCAAGAUUAAAAGCUUAAAUGAUUGACGGGGGUCAUAGCUGUUUU
Molecule: ribosomal RNA, 584 nt
Filed under: uncultured bacterium
Lineage: Bacteria
Description: partial 16S ribosomal RNA
Rfam family: Bacterial small subunit ribosomal RNA
Source: RNAcentral